GAUGAACGCUGACAGAAUGCUUAACACAUGCAAGUCUUUGGCGAAUCUGUGCUUGCACAGGCUAGCCAAGGCGGACGGGUGAGUAACGCGUAAAGAACUUGCCCUGCAGACAGGGAUAACAGACGGAAACGACUGAUAACACCUGAUACAGUUGCCGGCACGCAUGUGCCUGGCAAUGAAAAGAGAUGCUGCAGGAGAGCUUUGCGUCCUAUUAGCUUGUUGGUUAGGUGACGGCUCACCAAGGCGAUGAUAGGUAGCCGGCCUGAGAGGGUGAACGGCCACAAGGGGACUGAGAUACGGCCCUUACUCCUACGGGAGGCAGCAGUGGGGAAUAUUGGACAAUGGGGGCAACCCUGAUCCAGCAAUUCUGUGUGCACGAAGAAGGUUUUCGGAGUGUAAAGUGCUUUCAGCAGGGAAGAAGAAAGUGACGGUACCUGCAGAAGAAGCGACGGCUAAAUACGUG
This 463-nucleotide ribosomal RNA is filed under the name uncultured bacterium. Its description in RNAcentral is "partial 16S ribosomal RNA". It matches the Rfam family "Bacterial small subunit ribosomal RNA", at positions 28 to 507 of the family's 1533-position model. The record is from RNAcentral.